ACGGAAGGCAGCAGUGGGGAAUAUUGGACAAUGGGGGAAACCCUGAUCCAGCGACGCCGCGUGAGUGAAGAAGUAUUUCGGUAUGUAAAGCUCUAUCAGCAGGGAAGAUAAUGACGGUACCUGACUAAGAAGCCCCGGCUAAAUACGUGCCAGCAGCCGCGGUAAUACGUAUGGUGCAAGCGUUAUCCGGAUUUACUGGGUGUAAAGGGUGCGUAGGUGGUAUGGCAAGUCAGAAGUGAAAACUAUGGGCUCAACCCAUAGACUGCUUUUGAAACUGUCAAACUAGAGUGCAGGAGAGGAAAGAAGAAUUCCUAGUGUAGCGGUGAAAUGCGUAGAUAUUAGGAGGAAUACCAGUGGCGAAGGCGUCUUUCUGGACUGUUACUGACACUGAGGCACGAAAGCGUGGGGAGCAAACAGGAUUAGAUACCCUGGUA
RNAcentral lists this ribosomal RNA (434 nucleotides) under uncultured Lachnospiraceae bacterium. RNAcentral's name for it is "bacterial SSU rRNA". It matches the Rfam family "Bacterial small subunit ribosomal RNA", at positions 341 to 792 of the family's 1533-position model. The record is from RNAcentral. Lineage: Bacteria; Bacillati; Bacillota; Clostridia; Lachnospirales; Lachnospiraceae.